UGGGACGUCACAGUAAGGUCCUGCCUUUCC
This 30-nucleotide non-coding RNA is filed under the name Mus musculus (house mouse). Lineage: Eukaryota; Metazoa; Chordata; Mammalia; Rodentia; Muridae. The record is from RNAcentral.